Suricata suricatta (meerkat) is the source of this 869-nucleotide long non-coding RNA. RefSeq lists it as uncharacterized. The transcript has 4 exons. NCBI's taxonomy places the organism in Eukaryota, Metazoa, Chordata, Mammalia, Carnivora, Herpestidae. The record is from RefSeq and is a predicted model, not a curated record.
UCACCAAACCCGGCGGCCAUUUUCCUCCAUCUCCUGGAAUUGACAGAUCACGUGGCCGCGGGCGGUGGGGCGGGGCGGCAGAAGACAUCGCUAAGGCGUUGCAAACGAAGGCCUGCUCAAGUCACUUGGUCGGGAACCCAGAGAUUCCACCUCCCUUCGAUUGUUGGUGUUUCCAGAGUUCCAGCGCAAAGCCCGGUCCCCACCCCGUGUGAUGCUCCUCCGGUACUGCUCCUGUCUGGGGACCUGGCUCCUGCCCCCCAAGCCACCGAGACCGAGACCGGAAUUGGGCACCCUUUUUAGACACCGCUACCUCCCCUUCCCAAUGACAUCCCAUCAGCCUCUUCAUCAACCCCGAUCAGAUGCCGUUCAGAUGAUCUGUCUCAUGCACGUCACACCAUCUGAUGGAGCCGUACUCCUUGCUGGCCUUUUCUAGAAGAUGCCAGAUCGGCCCAUGGAGAAAUGCUCUUCAGUGGUUCCCAGUCUUGGCACAGCAGAACCAUCCGUGCACCUUCUUAAAAACUCAGAGCACCCUUGGGGAUUUAAAAACUACCUCCCCAGCUGAUUCCAAAGACAUGCCAUUCUCAGACUUGGGUUUGAGUCCCACAGUGUCCAAAUCAGUGGUUUCAAUAUGAACAUUCUGGGAUGUGAGGGCGAUCUGGCUGCGACAUCUGUCACCCCAUUGAUCGCCAGGGUUGAUUCAGCUGAUCUGGCUGGCUAGGCGGGUGUCCCCUUCCUCCCUCACUGCUCCAUGUGCGUCCCUCCCGAAGCUGCGCGCUGGGUGGAAGAGGACAGCCAUCCCCGAUAGAGGAGGACCGUUCUUCCGUCAAGGGUAUACGAGUAGCUGCGCUCCCCUGCUAGAACCUCCAAAC